CGGUACAGAGGGCUGCGAUCCCGCAAGGGGAGCGAAUCCCAAAAAGCCGCGCUCAGUUCGGAUCGGGGUCUGCAACCCGACCCCGUGAAGUCGGAGUCGCUAGUAAUCGCAGAUCAGCAACGCUGCGGUGAAUACGUUCCCGGGCCUUGUACACACCGCCCGUCACACCACGAAAGUGGGCAACACCCGAAGCCGGUGGCCCAACCCUUUGGGAGGGAGCCGUCGAAGUGGGCUCGCGAUUGGGGUGAAGUCGU
This 254-nucleotide ribosomal RNA is filed under the name uncultured soil bacterium. RNAcentral describes it as "partial 16S ribosomal RNA". It matches the Rfam family "Bacterial small subunit ribosomal RNA", at positions 1235 to 1489 of the family's 1533-position model. The record is from RNAcentral.